AAGGCUUGACAUGGGGAAGACUGGACGAGAGAUCGUCCUUCUCUAGCAAUAGAGCUUCCCACACAGGUGCUGCAUGGCUGUCGUCAGCUCGUGUCGUGAGAUGUUGGGUUAAGUCCCGCAACGAGCGCAACCCCCGGUUUCUAGUUGCCAUCAUUCAGUUGGGCCCUCUAGAGAGACUGCCGCGAAUAACGCGGAGGAAGGUGGGGACGACGUCAAGUCAUCAUGG
RNAcentral lists this ribosomal RNA (226 nucleotides) under uncultured bacterium. Its description in RNAcentral is "partial 16S ribosomal RNA". It matches the Rfam family "Bacterial small subunit ribosomal RNA", at positions 978 to 1198 of the family's 1533-position model. The record is from RNAcentral.